Marmota monax (woodchuck) is the source of this 3826-nucleotide long non-coding RNA. RefSeq lists it as uncharacterized. The record is from RefSeq and is a predicted model, not a curated record. NCBI's taxonomy places the organism in Eukaryota, Metazoa, Chordata, Mammalia, Rodentia, Sciuridae. The transcript has 8 exons.
CAGGAGCUUCUCUUUCCAUUAUCAAGCAUUUUGUUAGAACUGGUGACUAAUGUGGUGACCAACUGACUGCAGGAGGAGAGGGACAGAAAGCUGUAGAGGACAUAUCCCAGAUUCCUGGUCUGGGGGGUUGGGUAGGUAGAGGAGCCAUUUCCUAAUGUGGAGACACAAUGGGUCAGGCAUGACCAUGUGGAUACUAGUGGCUGCACCUUAUCAAGGUCAUUAUGGGACUCCAUGCAGGAUUCCUGUUCUUGGCGAAUACCUGAUAACUCAAGGCUCCAGAAUUCUCCUCCUUCCUCUCCAAGACACGCAGCCCAGUUCUCUUUGGCUUCUGGGAAGCUUGCCAGGUGGAUAGACCACUAGAAGAACUGCCUACUUGAAGGACAGCAGCCGCUCCAUGGCCUUGCUCACAGCCAGCGGUGGGCAGUGUGAAUCCUCUGCAAACUUUCCUUGGUGGAACAAGAGUGACUUCUGAAGCCCAGAGAACUCUGGAGUGUUGCAUAGGAAGGCAGCUCGUGAGAACUCCAGGUCCCUCCCCGAAGGGAGGAAUUGUGUUUCUGUCUGCAUUAGCUGCUUCUGUCCUACUAAGAUCCCUGCGCUGAGUUCCUACUCAAGUCCUGUCUUAAGUCCGCAGUGUGUUUUCUCCCCUGGUAUUGCUGUGACCUGGCUGUGGAGAGAAAGCCCCUGCUGAGAAGCCAUACAGCCAUGUGUUUCUGCUGCUCAAUACCAGCAUGAUUGCCCAGAUGCAGAGAGGACCCCAGGAGCACCAUACCCCUGCUGGGUGCUGAGGAUCACGUACCUCCAUGGACCUGAAUCCUGACAUGCUCACGCUGCAUGUCAACACCUGUUUCUACUCUGAAGAAUAUCAAGCAAGAUCAAAAAAAUCACAUUCAUUUCCAAGAAAGAUGCACACCUAACCUCUGGCUAUAGCCAGAACCAAUUAAGGGAAAAAGAAAAGUGGGGCAAGAUCUUUCCAAAUCUGGGGCAGCUUUGCAACAUCGUCACCCCUAGCCAACCCUGGUCAGUUCUGCUGGAAUCCCCAGGGGGCGGUGGCAGCAGAGCAUUUGAAAGCUCCCAGCCCCAUCCUGAUCCUCUCAGCAGAACUUUGGCCUCGAAGCUCGGGGUGUGGUUUCAGUAUCAGGUGCACAAAGAGGGACUAUCGACUGCUCUGUAACGUAUAUUCCCUGAAAUGGCACUGACCUUGACUCCCAUGUUGCCUUGAUAUCAGAUCCAGUGAAACCAGGCACCACUACUGACAAGUCUCCUUUAAUCUCUGCUGCUCUUCAGGUCUCACUGACCCAAGGUUUAAGAAUCCCUUGUGAAUUCACAAAGGAGUUCUUUCAGAUGGUAUGUGUGCACACAUGUGUGCAUGUGUGUGUGUGUGUAUGCAUGAGCAUAUAUGUGUACACGUGUUUGCCCAUGUUGUGUGUGUACAUAUGUGCAUGUGUAUAAGUAUGUGUAUGUGCAUGAGCACAUAUGUGUGCAUGUGUUUGCACAUGGUGGGUGAGUACAUGUAUGCAUGUGUGUGUAAGUAUGUGCAUGAGUGCAUAUGUGUGCAUGUGUUUGCACAUGGUGUGUGUGUCCCUGUGUGAAUAUGUGUGUGCAUGUUCAUGUUCAUGCAUGCAUGUGCUCCUGCUUGUGUGUUGUUUGUGCAUGUGUGUCUGCACGUGCUUACAUGUGCAUGCGUGUGCACAUGUGUACAUACAUACAUUUAGGUGUCAGGUUUCAGAUGAUGGUUUCUCAUCACUGUAAAUAGAGUGCAGCUUGAAGGUGAGUAUGUUUAUUUGAUUUGCCAUCCAAUUACAAUGUUAGAAAGAUAAGGAUAAUUUAUUUUAAGCCAUAAGUGAUAAAAAAUGGAAUACGUUCAUAUUUCUCAUUUAUCACCAAUUCUGAUUCAGAUAGUUCAUAUUCCCUACAUCUAUACAUAGCACUAUAACCUUGAAAUAAAAUUUGUUUUUCACCUGUAGUAGAGAUUUCACAAAACUCACGUGAAGUUGGUCUUAUUCUGGUCUUCUGCUGCACAUGGUGGACAUCCACAGGAAUGGCUUUCCGCUUUGGCCUGAAUGUUUCACUGAGACUGUGAAGAGUAGUCACAGCAGGAACCGGUUCCUUCAGUGGUAACAAAGUCUGGAAAUGAAAAUAACGUACAGUUUUAGGGAAAAAAUAGGAUGAGAAGUACUCAGUUGAUAUCGUUGUGCCUUUUAGACAGAAAAAAACUUCUUGAUAAGUUUAGGCCUAGUUUUAGUCAACAUAUACAUUAGUGAUAGGCAGGCCCUGUCCUGUAAUUGGUGAGCCGUUAAUAUGUGUCAUGUGGUCACUUGAUCCUUGAAGUUGCCAUGCGAUGUUCACACUGUAUUCUUCUUCUGCAUCCUUUAUCUGUGAAGCAAGAGGGCAGGACAGAAUGGUGGCCUGGGGGCCUCUGGCCACCUGCACCCUAGAAGCCCCUGGCCUUGUCCUUUGAAGUCUUUUACAGAAUCAAGCCGUCAGUAAGUUCUUGGAAACAUACAGGUGAGGAUGACAUUGCUGCAUUUCGCUGAUGCUCAGGUGGACAUUUUGCUCCCUUUGUUACCUCUGAAAUUAAGGUGGAUCUUGCAAUCCAUGAGGUGUGGAAGUUUGGUUGGCAGUAUGUUCCUCAUGUCCUGUCCCUUAGUGCCUUUCACAGGAAAGAGCGACUUGGAGUCAGUGAGAUGUGGAAUCUCAUCCCAUCUCUUUCCGAAAAAGAAUUUGAAGAAGUUUAACAAAGUAUACAAAACAAGACAAAUCAACAGUGUGUGCUUCUGAUUGAAGUUACUCUGAAGCUGGCUUUCUCUGUGAAAACCUGCUCUCCUAUAAAAUGAAAAUGUGCACAGAGCUGUUAAGAAGAUUGAAGAUACUGAGGCACAGGAAGUUGAUAGCACAGUACCAGCCACACGGUAAAGGCGAGAACGAUCUCACAAGAAGAGCAGGUUCUAAUGCACAAGCAAAUGCUUGGUAGUCAGGGACACCAAUGCAGGCAAUGGUGGGCAUUUAGCACGGGUUGCCCCUCUGUGGGUUUGCAUCUGAGCUGCAUGGACCACCUUGAACUCCACCUGCCGCAUAGCGCUGCUUCCUAAUAGUUGCUCAGAAGCCACGCUUCUCCUUCGACGUUCGUGCAUACAACUUCUGUGCUGGGCAUUGAUUUUUGUGGGUCAUCGUAAAGAGCAAGAUAAAUAACCUGUGGACUAAAUUCAGUGCCCAGCCAUAACAACAUGAUGGAGGCUAGAGUCGGAGGAAGAGGAGGCUGGGAGGCCAAAGCCACUGAACCCACACAUGGAUGGAACCAGAAAGAAGGUUUCAUGGCAUAUUUUGGAGCAAGAAGGCAGAAGCGGAAGGUGCACAAGAGAGGGUAAAAGGUCAUAGUACCUCCCUUACAAGGUGUGCAAAGAUGACCAGAAUUGAGGGUAGCUACCCGGUGGCCAAGGACCUUCAAGAUUCUCCCAUGUCAUGUCAUCCUUACUGAGGCCAGGGCUGAUGUGCCAACCAUGUCAUGUAGCAACCUUAUCUUAGUGAGAUGAACAUCUCAAGAUGGAUUUUGUAGGCUCUUGUUACAGACGUACGUAGUUUCAGCAUGAGAUAUAGUGGCCACUGUGGCACGCGCCAGAGCAGGAGAGAGGCACUGGUGAGGAGCCGCAGGGGCAGGGACUCUAUCUUGCCUGGUAUGUCUGCCUGCAAGGCUCUGCUUUUGUGUGGAAAGGACAGAGACAGCAUUGAGGCCAGACGACCCACCCGUCUCUCUCAUGACUGUAUUUUAAUCGCCACCCUUUGUAAAAACCAAGCGCAGAUAGAUGUUCAAUAAAAACUUGUUAACUCA